This 490-nucleotide ribosomal RNA is filed under the name uncultured bacterium. RNAcentral's name for it is "partial 16S ribosomal RNA". It matches the Rfam family "Bacterial small subunit ribosomal RNA", at positions 28 to 507 of the family's 1533-position model. The record is from RNAcentral.
GAUGAACGCUAGCGGCAGGCCUAAUACAUGCAAGUCGAACGGGAUCCAGAUCAAAGCUUGCUUUGGUUUGGUGAGAGUGGCGCACGGGUGCGUAACGCGUGAGCAACCUACCCUUGUCAGGGGGAUAGCCCGGCGAAAGUCGGAUUAAUACCGCAUGACAUCAUUGAGAGGCAUCUUUCGAUGAUCAAAGAUUUAUCGGACAAGGAUGGGCUCGCGUGACAUUAGCUAGUUGGUAAGGUAACGGCUUACCAAGGCUACGAUGUCUAGGGGCUCUGAGAGGAGAAUCCCCCACACUGGUACUGAGACACGGACCAGACUCCUACGGGAGGCAGCAGUAAGGAAUAUUGGUCAAUGGACGGAAGUCUGAACCAGCCAUGCCGCGUGCAGGAAGACGGCCCUAUGGGUUGUAAACUGCUUUUAUACGGGAACAAACGUCGGUACGUGUACCGGUCUGAGUGUACCGUAAGAAUAAGGAGCGGCUAACUCCGUG